UGCCACGACCAAAUCCAAAUCCCCCAAACCUAAAUCCUCUCACGCACUCCCUCCGCCGCCGCCCGCUAGCUAGCAGCCCGCACGCCGCCGACCACCCGCCGUCUCCAGCACGCCGUCACCUGUCUCCUUCAUCCUCCUGCACCCCCACUGCUUAGGCCCCGAACACUUCUAACCCUAGCUUGUGCGCUGGAGUUCGGGGAGAGGCCAAGGCGCGGUGGUGGACGCCGCCAUCCCUCUCAGAUCCGGGGCUGAGAGAGGGAGGGAGGGAGGGAGAGGUGGGUCACCUGCGAGAGAGAGCACUCGCACUCUCGCUCGUCAGCCGUCACCCAGGAGCCGCCACCACUGCCGCCACGCCAUGGGCUUCCUCCGAUCUGCGCUCGCCGGUUUGUUUGAAGAAGGAUCUGGCCGUUGACUGCUGGUGCUUCCCCUCCCCGGGCGAUCAGCCAUGACUUGGGAUAGUACUUCUAUCCAGCAAGCAGCGUUUUGGAUGUGAACUCCAGCUCAAGCAGAGCAUCAAAAACAGGGGCUCUAUCUGCUAAUGGGGUAGCCGGCAAUGCAGUCUAAGAGCUACAUCUCGUGUGAUUUCUGGAUAUGAGAACUUGAGAAGAACAAGCUUGAUGCUAUUAUUGAAAAAAAUAAUCUAUGCUACAGGAUUCUUCUUUGCAUCCCAUACACUUAGACGGAGUGGGAGGCUGCCGCAGCGGUGCUGGACUCGGAGCCCAAGCCAUCCGACGCCGCCAACAGAAGUUGCAGAAGUGUAAUGCUGACUCUACUCGAAUGAUGAUUAUCCCUACAUGCAUAACAUAUUAUAAAGAGAUCUUCCUACGUGCCCCUUUUGUAAGGAUUUGAUUAGCAACCACUAUUGUUCAGGAAUUUUGAGUGGCGCACAUCUUGGUCUGGCGAGCCGGUGACCGGACAUCAUUUGUCAAGGAAGCAAAAAGGACUACACUCACAAGGAACCAUGAAGCCAACGAUCCACGUCAACUAGAUGUUUUAGCUUUCAUUUUGUACAACUGAUGUCUCAUACCUUGCACCUUUUGACUGUCCUUUUGUAAACCUGAUGUAUGGUUCCUCGGUGGUUUUGUUUAGAACAGAUUGAAGUGUAUGUAUAUGCCAAUUAGUUAAUGGAAUAAAAAAUGUUUGGUGCUCC
Long non-coding RNA from Aegilops tauschii subsp. strangulata, 1150 nucleotides. RefSeq lists it as uncharacterized. Lineage: Eukaryota; Viridiplantae; Streptophyta; Magnoliopsida; Poales; Poaceae. The record is from RefSeq and is a predicted model, not a curated record.